RNAcentral lists this ribosomal RNA (254 nucleotides) under uncultured bacterium. Its description in RNAcentral is "partial 16S ribosomal RNA". It matches the Rfam family "Bacterial small subunit ribosomal RNA", at positions 524 to 776 of the family's 1533-position model. The record is from RNAcentral.
UACGUAGGGCGCAAGCGUUGUCCGGAAUUAUUGGGCGUAAAGAGCUCGUAGGCGGUCAGCACAAGUCAGUUGUGAAAUCUCCGGGCUUAACUCGGAAAGGUCAACUGAUACUGUGCGACUAGAGUGCGGAAGGGGCAACUGGAAUUCUCGGUGUAGCGGUGAAAUGCGUAGAUAUCGAGAGGAACACCUGCGGCGAAGGCGGGUUGCUGGGCCGACACUGACGCUGAUGCGCGAAAGCCAGGGGAGCGAACGGG